Rosa rugosa (rugosa rose) is the source of this 1817-nucleotide long non-coding RNA. RefSeq lists it as uncharacterized. The record is from RefSeq and is a predicted model, not a curated record. NCBI's taxonomy places the organism in Eukaryota, Viridiplantae, Streptophyta, Magnoliopsida, Rosales, Rosaceae. The transcript has 7 exons.
UAUGCGUUUAGAAGUUCUUCUAUAAGGUUUUCAUCCUCUGCACUAAGACUUAGUGUUGAUGUUAAAUAUAUAUUAAAUUAAGAGGUAUUUGUUGACCUGGAAGUUUUAUUUGUAAAAGGACUUUGCUAUUUAUAUUAAUUGAAUGGCUAAUGGAAUGUAGUAUCUGUUUGCAAGUAGUACAUAUGUGAGUUCAAAAAGGGAAUUGGUUACCAUCCAAAAUACAAUAAGAACACAAAUUGCUGAAUCCUCAUACAAAGAGAAGACAUGCAGACAGAGGGUACAAAUGAAAAAUACAUGAUUCUACAGCUAGAACAGUGGAUUCUGAAGUGUCUGCAAGUGUAGUCCUCCUCGGUUUCUAUCUCUCCCUGCGCUAAAUGAAGUCACUCAAGUAACUCUUUGGUUUCUGCAAUUUUUUUUUUUUGGCGUGGUUGCUUCAUAGAACAUAAGCUUUUUGUUGUUUACGCUUAAUAGAACGUAAGCUUUUUGUUGAUUAAGUAAGCUUUUAUUCAAUGAGUGUAUCUCUAUUCUGCAAACAAAUAUUAUUGACCGGUUGUUUUUGCUUUAUCCUUUUUGUCUGUGAUUCAUGAUUUACUGGGUCUGGGUAAUUCAGAAACUUGGCAGUGCUUCAUUAUUGUGUGUUUAUGAAUUUUCAUGUUAGAUUGGAUCUAAUUUUUAGUUUUUAUUUUUAUUUUAUUCUUUCCCUCCAUAUACAUGAGUGAUUGGGAAGAAAAACAAACUAGAGGUGAAAUCUUGAAUUUGGUUUUAGUCUUUCGCAUCGAAUUGGUUGAAAUGUUGAAAAAUUUUAAGCUUGCAGUGGCUGCUCUCUGGGUUAUCUAUGGUUUCUGUUGAGCCUCUUUGCUUGCAUUUGAUUUGGUUGGGUUAGGAAAUUGGGGAGAAAAGACAGAGCUAAAUUGGAUGCUGUGUUGUUCUGGGUUCAUAUCGAAAAGUCAAAACUAUCAAGUGUUAUUAGGUCUGUUCAAUUGAAUUGUUUCUGGGUUCAAAAGUGCAUGCUUUUCCUCUGCCUAUGUGGCUAUGUUGUUCUCAGCAUAGAGUUAACUUUUAUGUAAUCUGCCAGUGUAUAUUGAUACAACUCACUUGGUCUUGGAAGUUCGGCAAUUGCUUCCUGAUCCUCUUUUUUUAUGUCAGAAAACUAUCUCACAAGAUCUGGAGUUGGAAUCACUUUUUCCAGGCAUGUCUCCAUGAUCUGGAGUUGGAGAAUGGUAUUGCUGUUCUGAAUAAAGAUUCUGCCAUUGGUAUUGGAUUUGGAACUUCGGGAUCGAACCUACUUUAGCUACACUUAUAUAGGAUCUAGAAAGAAGAUUGAGUUUAUGCUUUCGGUCAGCGGAGGCAGCAUUCUAUCAUGGAUUGGACAUGAUUAUUUUGUUGUGGAUGAUAAGACUGCUGCACAUCAUGAGGCAAUAGGAAACCUAUUACUUCAGAUGGCUGUCAAUUCAUAUAUGUCAUGAUAUAUGUGUUCCUGCUGUGAGAAAUUGGUGAUAACUUCUAAAGGAACCAAUCAUAAAGUUUAUGAAACUUGAUACUACUGAUAACUUCUCACGCUAUAAGUCUCAGGUGAUCUCAUAAUUCAAGUGAAGGGAAGUAGAUAUUUGCUUCACAAGGUCACACAUUGCAGCUUCAAGCAUUCUUCAAAUCUUGCAUACUCCAUGGCUGGAUGGACAAAAUUUCCACUCUUAUACUCUACAAAGCAUGAAGCUGACAACCUUUUAGAUCAGUACACGAAUGAGCUUCGUGGUUGUUGUACAGUGUUAAAUGAACAUGUGAAAAAUUUGUUUCAAAUUGAAAACUUCAUUUGAUUA